This is a long non-coding RNA of Syngnathus typhle (broad-nosed pipefish), 2991 nucleotides long. RefSeq lists it as uncharacterized. The transcript has 3 exons. NCBI's taxonomy places the organism in Eukaryota, Metazoa, Chordata, Actinopteri, Syngnathiformes, Syngnathidae. The record is from RefSeq and is a predicted model, not a curated record.
AGGAGCGGUAAUUAAAAUGGGAAUGACGCCCCGCCACUGCCACCCGGGAAGAUUUUCCACUUCUGGAGAAUAAGGGCAACGAGAAAAGGGAGAAAUUCGCCAAUUGCAGAGUGCGGACUUUGGCGUCUAAUACUGGCAGAGCCCCAAGUGAAGGUGCAUCAAUUUUGGGCGGAACCCACCCACUGUGUCCAAGCUCCCCACCAAUGCCACGACAGUGACAGUAAUUUUAACCCAGCCGGAGCGGGCGGUCCCCCCGGAGGUGGGCCAUUAAAGUUCAGGUGAGGUUAAUUACAGAGCAUUGUGAGGCCUGCCGCUGCGCACCGGGGGAGGCGGCUGGUCUGUUGACGCCUCCGAUUGACGGUUCGGACAUGACGCGACACCCCCUCGACGGAUUUUAUGCUUGAGUAGCACUGGGCAUGAGAAUAUACUGAAUGUCAUAUUUAUCUUUUUUCAUACCAAAUCUAAAUUUAUACUAAAUAACUAUAAAACAUUGAUGCCAUACCCCGCCCACAUUACAUUUGGAUUUGGGCCUGAAGACAUUUUAAAUAAGCAGACAACCCGCCCCACACACACACACACGCACACUACAAGGUUAUAGUAACGCAGGAAAGGAGCUCCGAGUAGCAACAGGAAAAGAGUGCACUCCACAUGUGUUUGAGUAAGGAUGAGAUUAUAUUGGAUUAAAGGAGGAUUUUUGCAAUGCAAAUGAAUGCACCUCCGAAUCGAUACGCCCUGUUCGACUCAAUAUACAAACUAAUUAAGAGGUAAUACAAUCAAACCUGAAUAAAAUAGAUUGCACGGCCCGCUCAGAAAGAAAUCCAAUCAAAGCUUUUUAUGUGAAUAGAUAAAAUCUAAAGCGAUCUCUCUUUGCAGGAAUAAUGACCUGGGCUUUGUGUCCAUUUAAUAAGGAAAACUUGUCUUAAGAGCCCGCGCUCAAUGUGCAUAUUCUAAUCAAUAUGAACUACAUAGGGGUUUAUCUAUGUUAUCUGCUCCAGACCGCUAAGCUAAUUAAUGUUUUAUCGAGUGUUUUAACUCAAUUGUUUCGCAAAGUCAAAGAGGUUCCGCGCUCGUUUCCGCGUGCGGUCGGAGAAGAAGCCGGACCUUAACUCCGCAGACAUUUUCUUUUGGAAAGUUUCAUUUCAACUUCUUUCCUGGACCACUGGAAUCAUACGGAUGUGGUAAAUAAGUAUUCCAGCAUUUAGUCAGGUACUUAUGACUUGAACUCGGCGUUGACAAUAUUGCUCUACAAUAAUGACCACAUUUUGCUGCUGUGGACUAAAUUGAAGUUUUCUGAAGCUUUGAUUUGAUUUGACAUUCCUUAAUUAAUCCCAUCUGAGCUGCGAUUGCUUGUGAUGUUAUUUUCGGUCGACAACAAGGGGCAAAAUGGCCGACCCCUAAAAAAAAAUGGCUGAAUUUCCACAAACACAAUAUUAAUCAGAAAGCUUUGUUUUGACUAAUAGGGGUACAUACAACAUACAACAUUGUAAAGACAAUUUUGAGGUCAAUUUCCCUUUAAAUUUGUAUUUGCUGUUCUUACUGCUAAUAAUUCCGACUUUUGGUUGAUAUGGCAAAAGUUCUAUUAUUGCACUUGUAGCAGCAACUGUAUAAUAUAUAAUAAUAGUCUAAUAAUAGUAUAGUUCUCCACCUUAUGAAGUUUGUUCCCAAGUAAAAUAGAGGCUGGUUAUUGCCAAUAAUAAUACUUUAAUGACCAGUUAUUUUCAACCGCUAAUAUGUAGAUUCGGCCAUAACUUUGCCACCACUGUUGGAGCUCCAUUUUGCUGGAGGCUGUUCCCCUCCUCCAUCCUGCUCCCGCCCACCCUCUUCUUGUGCUUCAUUCCAGCUGAUUGCUCAUUUUCUAAUGCUAAUGCUGCUACAGGCCACAGCUCGGGUUUCUCCCCUGUCAGCCGGCCACUGGGACUGUGGGACGGCUCUAAUGGGCUCUGACAGGAGGGAACUGAUCUCAUUCAAAGGGGAUUUCAUAUGUGGCAUGAAUGCGAGCACGCUCAAUGGACAUAUUAAUGCUCGUUAUCAUUCACGCAUUUUGUGGCCAUUCAUAAAGCACCCUUUUUUUUUCUCUUUCUUCCCAAGCGUCAUGACUUAAAGGUGAGCGGGCCUAUUCUUUUCGCUGCCUUUUAGAUGUCACGUCAAAAGGUGGCAGUAAAUAAUAACAUGGUGGGUGUUGUUUACAAUUCGAUUGCAUGCCGGCAGAGAAUAAGACAAAGGUCCAUCCUGGUCACAAGAGACGCCAAUGUGGGAUCAGGCAGUCAAUAUUUAGCCUCCCUCCGCGCGAUUUAUGGCUGAAGCGGCUCCCUGUGCAUUCAAAGUAUUGUCUGUCUUAAGAAAAAGUGAAGGGGCGGACAAAAAAAAAAAAAAAAAGGCGACAACAAAAAGCCAUUAAAGUUCAGGUGAGGUUAACAGCGCAGUUGUUAAACCUGUUGCUGCGCUUUUGUGCCAUAAUCACAAUGGUUUUCUGCUGGUUUUGGGACUUUAGAUUACGGCUCUCAUGUUCAUGCGACGUUUUCCAUUUUAGACUUAUGAAUAGUGUUUAGUUUGGAUUCCUCGGGCUUGGGUUUUGCUGUUUUCGGGCACUUUUACACGACAACAAGCUAGUAAAAACAGCAGUGGCGUAGCCUGAGCUGCCAGCUCCCAAUCAAAUGUUGGAUGUAUCUGAGCACUAUAUUGUAAUUGUAUGUUUCAAAGAUCAUAAAAACGAAUAUUUUCUCUCGAAUGUUUCCAAAACUAGUCACGGCCGACAUUAAAAUGAUAUAACAAGCAUGGUAAGCAUUCAUCAGAGGGUAAGGGGAUGGUUGUGGUAUAGUUGACUCCCAUGUUGCACACCACAUAAAGUACAGGGGGUCCUCACUUGACCGUAGCUAAGAAGACGUUCAGGAAGGCACGCUCACUUUACGCUGGACUUACUUUUUCUUUUGAUUAUUUUGGAUUCCUGUGCUAAAAAUACUUUUCCAUUGAAAAACGUUUUUCUGACUUUAC